Long non-coding RNA from Pseudoliparis swirei, 1756 nucleotides. RefSeq lists it as uncharacterized. The transcript has 4 exons. Lineage: Eukaryota; Metazoa; Chordata; Actinopteri; Perciformes; Liparidae. The record is from RefSeq and is a predicted model, not a curated record.
CACUUACAUCAGAUCUCCAGUCAGAAGAGGAGGCAAUUCCUAAAAAGAGGAAGCCAAUGCCGGUCCAUUUCUAUGGAGACUCGGAUGGAGACAAUGAAAAUGAAAAUUCCCCCCACAAAACAGGGGUCCAACCACGAGCGGGACAGUUGUCCCUCCAAUCAUUGCCUCCUCCUAACUAUUCCAUGUACUCCAUCACCAGCAGGACAGCGAACACGCCAGGGGGACACGCCCACCUGGCGAGUGGCGAGGUGGUUCAGACACCAUUGCCUGCUGUGCUGUUCCAGUUCAAAUCCUAGGCAUGCUGGAGACAAUUACAGAGGUGAGAGACCCGGUUCCGUUUCCGUGUACCACAAUGGAGGAAGUGGAACUUUUUGAGCAACGGCUCAAAGAUCCCGUCAACAUUCUAAUGAGUGGUGAGUUUUUUUGUUUUAAGAAUCUCACGCAAAGCUGAUUAAAAUCUAUUGUAUGUAAUUUACACUAGACAAUACCAUGUUUGAUGGAAAUGUUUUUUCAAACAUUCUGUAAAGUAUCAAAUAUUAAUCGUACUUUUUCGAUCCAUUUUCGAUUUCCUCCCUGGCAACGAUCGGACGACAUGAUGCCAAACGUGGAACAUCCUCGAAUGAAUGGAAAAAAAUUAUUCAGUCAAAUAACAUCUAAGACUUUGCUCCUGCAUGCCGUCAGAAAGAAUCAUGCCACACAUGCAUCCACUGAUGAACAGAUUCUAAAGCAUGCCAUUAGGUGUUCAACCUGGCAGCAAACCGGGGUAGCUCCAGGAGGCGUGCUACUGUCGACAUCCCCCACACUGAACAGAAUUAAAAAUAUAUAUUUAUAUUUUUAUAUAUAAUAUAUAUUUAUAUAUAUAUUAGGGCUGUCAAUCGAUUAAAAAAAAUUAACUAAUUAAUCGCACAUUGUGAAAUUGCGAUUAAUUACAAACUUUUAAUCGCAAUUGAAAGUGUUGACAGAUAAACGGAUUGACCAAUCACGUUGAAGGUUUCAUGUGACGAGUUCUUUCCGCGCCGCGUCACCCGACACGUCGCCCUCCGUUCCUCUGUGUAUCAGAGGGGGAGACGGGAGGAAGGAGGAGCAGGAGGAAACCCGACUGAUUCAUCCACGAGUUAAACUGAUUUCUGCUCCUUAUUUUUGCGGAGAAAUAAUGGUUUAAAAAACGGAAACAGUGUCAAACCGUACUGCCGUGGUUUGACAUUCAGAGGAGUGUAACAACUUCAACGAACACCGGAAGCAAGUCGAAGUGUCCUUGAGCAAGGCACUGAACCCCCAGUUGCUUCCCGGGCGCAUCACUGCAGCCCACUGCUCCUUAAUAACUAAGGAUGGGUUAAAUGCAGAGAACUAAUUUCCCCUUGUGGAUUAAUAAAGUAUAUUCAACACAAAAAAAAUGCGCUAAUUGCGUUAAAAUAUUUUAGUGCGUUAAGGCGGCCAAAUUAAUCGCAUAGAUUAACGCGUUAACGCUGACAGCCCUAAUAUAUAUAUAUACACACACACCAGUUCUCAGUUGGAAGUUCCACCAUUCACUUGAGGCCACUGCGACCUAUUCUCUGGGAGAAUUGUGGUAUUUGGGUUAGGUGGUCGGUAUUUAUGGUUGUAUUAGUUGUAGCUCUUGUGUUCUAAUGUGAGCUAUAGUUUUUACUCUAUAUGUAUGUGUGUAUAUAUUGUCUCGAACUAAUUAUCAAUAAAUAUGAUUCAUACAUGUACAAGAAAUAAUUUGAUGUCCUUUUAAUAAACUGUUUUUGAUAUUAUU